RNAcentral lists this ribosomal RNA (814 nucleotides) under Streptomyces sp. Its description in RNAcentral is "bacterial SSU rRNA". It matches the Rfam family "Bacterial small subunit ribosomal RNA", at positions 90 to 917 of the family's 1533-position model. The record is from RNAcentral. Lineage: Bacteria; Bacillati; Actinomycetota; Actinomycetes; Kitasatosporales; Streptomycetaceae.
GAUUAGUGGCGACGGGUGAGUAACACGUGGGCAAUCUGCCCUUCACUCUGGGACAAGCCCUGGAAACGGGGUCUAAUACCGGAUACGACCUGCCGAGGCAUCUCGGCGGGUGGAAAGCUCCGGCGGUGAAGGAUGAGCCCGCGGCCUAUCAGCUUGUUGGUGAGGUAACGGCUCACCAAGGCGACGACGGGUAGCCGGCCUGAGAGGGCGACCGGCCACACUGGGACUGAGACACGGCCCAGACUCCUACGGGAGGCAGCAGUGGGGAAUAUUGCACAAUGGGCGAAAGCCUGAUGCAGCGACGCCGCGUGAGGGAUGACGGCCUUCGGGUUGUAAACCUCUUUCAGCAGGGAAGAAGCGAAAGUGACGGUACCUGCAGAAGAAGCGCCGGCUAACUACGUGCCAGCAGCCGCGGUAAUACGUAGGGCGCAAGCGUUGUCCGGAAUUAUUGGGCGUAAAGAGCUCGUAGGCGGCUUGUCGCGUCGGUUGUGAAAGCCCGGGGCUUAACCCCGGGUCUGCAGUCGAUACGGGCAGGCUAGAGUUCGGUAGGGGAGAUCGGAAUUCCUGGUGUAGCGGUGAAAUGCGCAGAUAUCAGGAGGAACACCGGUGGCGAAGGCGGAUCUCUGGGCCGAUACUGACGCUGAGGAGCGAAAGCGUGGGGAGCGAACAGGAUUAGAUACCCUGGUAGUCCACGCCGUAAACGGUGGGCACUAUGUGUGGGCAACAUUCCACGUUGUCCGUGCCGCAGCUAACGCAUUAAGUGCCCCGCCUGGGGAGUACGGCCGCAAGGCUAAAACUCAAAGGAAUUGACGGG